GGGUACGGUCUGCUGAGAAUGGCAGCUCUGUUGCUGGUACACAGCAGGACCUCAAUCUGUGCAGGGCCCCACUGGGGAGGAGGGGCGGACCUCAGUUUCCCCAACCAUCCAACGGCAAGGGAGACUCCUGCCUCUGGCCCAUGGACUGCCGUCCAGGCCCUCUGCCUGCUCGUGCCUCAGUUUUCUGUCUGCAGCCGGGGCGCAUGUUGGGCAUCCUUAGUCUAUGGCGCUCGUGGUGGGGCUGACCGAGGGCGGGCCCUUGGGGAAGCCAGCAAGGGACAGUGGAGGGGGCUGCGUCCCUCCCUCCCUUCCCCCAUCUCUCCCACUUCCCCUCUGUACUGAGGCCAGGACGGAAGGCCGCCGACUACAACUCCCAGCAGGCCGCACGCGGCAAGCCCUGCGCGGAGCUCACAGAGCCCACCUGGAGUGGCCUCCCCCGCGGGGUACGGGGGCGGGGCUUCCUCCUCCUCCCACCCCUCCUGUGCUGCUGCCUGAGUCCCAGCGCGGCUCCUCCUCCAUGGGCACAAGAGACCAAGCCCAGCUCCGGCUCCGGGUCCGAGUCGAGGUCAUCGCGUGGUUGGAGGCUGGAGCGCGGCGGCGUCGGAGGCUGCACUGGGAGCAUCUUGAGGACAGCCACUGCUUUGGCCCCUGACACACAGUCGGUGCUCAGUCAGUCCAUGUGGUUUGAUUGCAUGAAGGAUGUUGGCCUUUUGUGUGGACUUCUGUUGGGAAAAUGAAGCAUGUCUAGUAUCCCGACUCUGCAGUGUAACAAGUCUCCUUCAUGCACCCUGUCUGUGUCCCAGAAAAAGCUGUCCUAGAGUCCAUGAGCCUCUUUUUGUGACUUGGGCUUUCUUUGCUUUUCCACCUCUGUGUGUGUGUGUGUGUGUGUGUGUGUGUGUGUGUGUGUGUGUGUGUGUGUGUGUGUGUGUCUGCUGGCAGGCUUUUUUCAGGGUAUCAGUACAGUGGGGGAGGAAGAGGAGUUGACCUGCUCCUCCCUCCCUGGCCCCUCUCAUCCCACAUUUCCUAUCUCUCCUGGCUCUUUCCCUGGUGCCUACAAAUAGGCCCAUGUCUCCCUCAUCCUGAACAAAUCCUCAGUUAACCCUUCCAUCCCUGCUAACUCUGGUCCUACAAUGUCUUCUACCAUUUGUGGUGAAACUCCUGAAAAAGUCAGUGUACACCAGCUGCCUCCACUGUCUGUCCUCUCAUUCUCUUCUUCAGCCCUUGCAGUGUGGCUUCUGACCCCAUCAUUCCACCCAAACUGCCCUCUCCACGGUGACCAAUGACCUCUUAGUGGCCAAGUCCAGUGUCUUUUCCAGUCCUCAUUCUCCUUGACUUCUUUGUAGCCUGGACGCAGUGGAUCCCCUCUCCUCCUGGAUACUUCCAUCCCUUUACAGUUGUGGUUACUACACUCUGUCUCCUGGUUCUCCUCCUCACUCUUUGACUGCUCCUGGUCUGCCUCCUUUGCUGGAUCCUCCUCCUGCUCACACCUUCUGACCACAGGCAUCCCUCGGCUUCUAUCCUGGGCCUGGGCCUCCUUCUUCUGAGCUGCUUCCCUUGGGGAUCUCCUCAGCUGCCAUGGAUUUAAUGACCUUGUGUAUGCAGAUAAUUCUCAAAUCGACCUUUCCUGCCCCAAACUCUCAGCUGAGCUCCAA
Molecule: long non-coding RNA, 1652 nt
Filed under: Phascolarctos cinereus (koala)
Lineage: Eukaryota; Metazoa; Chordata; Mammalia; Diprotodontia; Phascolarctidae
Description: lncRNA (ENSPCIG00000036373.1)
Source: RNAcentral